This 762-nucleotide ribosomal RNA is filed under the name Clostridioides difficile. RNAcentral describes it as "bacterial SSU rRNA". It matches the Rfam family "Bacterial small subunit ribosomal RNA", at positions 1 to 789 of the family's 1533-position model. The record is from RNAcentral. Lineage: Bacteria; Bacillati; Bacillota; Clostridia; Peptostreptococcales; Peptostreptococcaceae.
UUUUAUUUGAGAGUUUGAUCCUGGCUCAGGAUGAACGCUGGCGGCGUGCCUAACACAUGCAAGUUGAGCGAUUUACUUCGGUAAAGAGCGGCGGACGGGUGAGUAACGCGUGGGUAACCUACCCUGUACACACGGAUAACAUACCGAAAGGUAUGCUAAUACGGGAUAAUAUAUUUGAGAGGCAUCUCUUGAAUAUCAAAGGUGAGCCAGUACAGGAUGGACCCGCGUCUGAUUAGCUAGUUGGUAAGGUAACGGCUUACCAAGGCGACGAUCAGUAGCCGACCUGAGAGGGUGAUCGGCCACAUUGGAACUGAGACACGGUCCAAACUCCUACGGGAGGCAGCAGUGGGGAAUAUUGCACAAUGGGCGAAAGCCUGAUGCAGCAACGCCGCGUGAGUGAUGAAGGCCUUCGGGUCGUAAAACUCUGUCCUCAAGGAAGAUAAUGACGGUACUUGAGGAGGAAGCCCCGGCUAACUACGUGCCAGCAGCCGCGGUAAUACGUAGGGGGCUAGCGUUAUCCGGAUUUACUGGGCGUAAAGGGUGCGUAGGCGGUCUUUCAAGUCAGGAGUGAAAGGCUACGGCUCAACCGUAGUAAGCUCUUGAAACUGGGAGACUUGAGUGCAGGAGAGGAGAGUGGAAUUCCUAGUGUAGCGGUGAAAUGCGUAGAUAUUAGGAGGAACAUCAGUUGCGAAGGCGGCUCUCUGGACUGUAACUGACGCUGAGGCACGAAAGCGUGGGGAGCAAACAGGAUUAGAUACCCUG